Long non-coding RNA from Ictalurus punctatus (channel catfish), 3990 nucleotides. NCBI's taxonomy places the organism in Eukaryota, Metazoa, Chordata, Actinopteri, Siluriformes, Ictaluridae. The record is from Ensembl.
GUGUCGGUCUGUAGCGCGUGAGUGAGAGGAGCUCGGAGCUGCAGAGAUGCGCGCGACACUUGUAAGCAUUAGCAACACGCAGUACACCGAAAACAUCGGGCAGGAUACGUUUGCGGUGUGUUUACCGCCUAAUGUGAUCGAAACACGCCGGGGGUUCGUGGUUUACAGGAGUCGGAGGAAGGCUAAAAAGAAAUGCUGCAGUUUGAGACAUUGCUUCUGAGACAGUUGCAGAAGCAGCAGAACAGGGAUGAGUUCUGUGACACUGUCCUACAAACUCAAGGUGUGUCAGUGCCAGUACACAGCUGUGUGCUGUCUGCCUUCAGUCCUAGGCUCUACGGCACUCUAUCCUCCAUGCCAGUACCCAUGACUGGGCAGAGACGGCUAAUUGAGCUCCAGGCUGUGGAUGCCUGCACGCUGCUCAGCCUGGUUAGUCUGCUCUACUCAGGUCAGUUACAUGAGAACAGAGAGCAGGUCCUCUCAGCUGCACAAACAUUGGGCAUCGAGGUACCUCAGUGGCAAGAAGAAGAGAGACAUGGAGGAAAAGUGGGAAGAAGAAAAGAUCCUGACCAAGAGGUAGAGAAAGAGGUGGAUGCCAGAGAGUGGGAUGAUAGGAUGACCAGAAGAAUGGAAGAGGGCAGUGGAGGAGAGAAAGAGAAGAUAAGAGAGAGCAGUACACAGACCGAGUGUGGGAGAGAAACAGAUGAGAGAAGUGCACAAACAGAUCUAGCAUGCUCAGAGCAUCAAAGCAUCCAGACUGUCUGUCUGAUUGACCAGUCGACAUGCUCAACCAAUCAGGAGCUUCUCGGUUACAUGGAUAUCCAUGAUCCGGCAUUAGCAUUGCAGGUAGUCUGUCCAGAAAGGAAAUUGACCACUUGUGAUAUGUUAGCCAAAGCCCCUGAGACAGGAGACUGCCACACAGUUUGUGAAUCUGCCUGUGUGUCCCAAAUCUACUUGUAUUCCUUGGAAACCUCACAACACCAACCUUCCACUUCUGUCACUCCCCACCCUCAUAAUUCCUUUUUGGACCAGUCAGUGGUUGUGCCAGCUGCUGGAGCUGAUGCUAUAAAUGAUCUAACACAGUUUGAAGGAAACAUACCUGGUUUCAUUAGCUACUUUCUGGGUUCCACCAACUCUCAAAAUAUAGAGAGAAGAGGACAGGGCUGUGCAAGGGAAGAGGCCAGAGACGAGCAAGUGGGUAAAACAGCAAGAGCAAGGUCAACAGGUGGAGUGUCAGUGAGAGAAUGGCCAAAAUGGAUAGGAGGAAGAGGAGGAAUGAGGAAAAGGCGCAUGGAAAGGUGGGGUUUGGUGGCAAGGUUAGCAUGGUGGGGUCAGGGUGGGGGUAGAGUUGGCAGAAUGCUGGAAACCAGAUCAACAGGGAAGAAUCCAAUGAGAGUGUUCCGGAGACGGCAAGUCAGAGAGGCAUUGGUGGAGGCAGGAGAGGCAAGAGGAAGAGGCAGGCAAAGGCAAAGAGGCAAGACAGGCACAAUUGCAGGCAGUGAGGUGCAGAAUGACCCUCCACACAGUCGCAGGCCAAGAGGCUGUCCUCGUUUACGCCCACUUCUUCCUGCUUCGCGCAGUUUCUCAUCGAUGAUGCCAACUGAACUGGGCACUGUGGAUACUACAGAAAUUGACCUGUUACACACGGUGACCCCCACACCAGCUGCUCAGAUGGAGCCCGUUCAGUCUAUUGACACAUUCCUAGAUGACCUCGUGACAGGCCUCCAUUUUCUACCACCAGAAGACAAUCAAACCAAUCAACAGGACCUCACGAGUUCCACAACUUCCAGUGAUCCACCCAUUUUAAAGGCCAUGUAUCCCAACAGUCAUUCCGUAAAACCCACAUAUCCAAAGCAGCAUCUGGAAGGUGAACUCUGUGAUAUACUCGAUCACUUUCUGAUGACCUUUGAGCAGCAAGUUGGUUGCUGUGGUUUAGAUUUGGGAGAUGAGACAUUGACAAAUCAGAGCAGUGACAAAUCAGACCCCAGCACAGAUCCAUGGAAGAACACUCCUAAAACAUAUUCACAGCUACAACCUCACAACCCACACCUACACCAUCAAAAACCACAAGCAAACUUUUUAUACACCUCAAGUACACUGAGCACUCAACCACAAUUUACACCCAUGGUGAACCCAUCAGUAGCGGAGAACACCAAUGGCCGGGAUGGCCAAAUACAUGCGGCAGAAGUGCAGAAACCAUCCACAGAUCAGAACAUUAUGCAACAGUUUGAAAACCGAAGGUUGACUCGGAGCCAGAAGAGAAAACUGGAAACGGCCUUAAUUAGCCUCCAAACCCCGGUUAAGACGAAGGGCAUAGAAAAACAGGGCGCUGACACAAAGAAGAAGGGACAAAGGGAUGAUCUCGGGCAAUCUGAAGCAUGUGUGAACAAAAGUGGAGUCAAUAACUUGGACAAAAACAACAAAUAUAGCGCUACAAAAGCUUGCAGCAAAGAAAGACAAGCAGGUGCAAGACAGAAGAGACAAGAAGUGAACAGAUUAGGUAGAAGGAAAAGGAGUGUUGAAAAUAGAAGUCACCGAAUGGAUGGUUUUUAUGAAAGUAAGAAGAGUCCCCAAAAAGGAAGACCAACAAUUCAUGGUGGUGGUAAGAGGAAGAAGAAUGUUGGAGAAGAUCAUGAAGAGGCAAAGCAUAUAUCUAAUGGUUAUCAGGCUUGUCAGUCAUCUGUAAAGAGCCAAAUAGGAGGAAACUGUAUUGAGAUAGCUUCUUCAGCUAUGGAGAAGGUGAGAAUGCUUCUACAGCUCCAAAGUGAGGAAGAGGAUGUAAGCGCAAAUGAGAGUGUUGGAAUAUAUGAGGAAAAUAAGGUUGGAAAUGGGAGAUUGGUCAAUCAUAAAGAAAGACUUCCUGUUGAAAACAGUUUGCAAGGUCAUCUGGGAGAGAUGCAGAAGCCAGCAGACGAAGGGAGAAUAGCAGUUAAUGGAGAUGGGCAGGCGAGAAGAAGCAGUGUAGUAGAAGCGAGCCAGAGGCAUGAGGACGAAGAAAGAAUGGCCAAUGGACUGAGGCCUUUCCGGCUGAAUCUACCUUCAAAUGCAGGCACCAUGCACAAAAUGGCCGACUUAACUUUGGACAUAGGAUAUGCGCCUGGGCUCACGUCUACCGCACGACUCUCACACACGCAAGCUUGCCAAGAGCUCCUCGGCCCACACACAUCUACAAAAGACUUGCUGCAGUUGGCAGGGAGUUCUGUGGAUGAAGACGAAGAUGUGGAUGUGCUGGAGGUGUCCAGCCUAAACUCUGCGCUACCUGCUGUGUCGACUGUGAUCUUGGGGGUGGAUCUGAGCACUGAGGAGGAGGAGGAGGAUGAUGUGGAAGAAGAUGUCGAGAUUGAUGUGCUUGGUCUAGAACCAGAUUAGCCAUGCGGAAUAACUUCUGCUGUUCCAGCUUUCGACUAGAUUUUGGAGCAUGGCUGUGGGGAUUUGUGUUCAUUCAGCCACAAGAGCAUUAGUGAGGUCAGGCACGGAUGUCAAGUGAGGAGGUCUGGGGUGCAGUCAGCGUUCCACAGGUGUUCAACAGGGUUGAGGACCGCCAUACACUCCACAGAUCUGCUGUGAUGAGAGUUAAUGGAGGGAACAGGUAUAGAAAUCAAGUCCUGCAUGUUUUUACAUAUCAGUCAGGUUCGCCACACCUGAGGUUAGAUGUUGGACUUCACGUCAUGUCUGUAAUCACACAAAAAGGUUAAAGUUUUAUUUGUUUUAAGUCAGAUCUGCUGAACAAGUCCCUUUAUUCCAUCUGGUUUCCUUUUAAGACUGUAGUGGCAGAAUGAGACUGGACAAGGUGCAAAGAUUUGUAUGGCCGGUUUAAUCAUUUUGGACUUUUGCGGGCGAGGACAGUUUAGUUUAUUAUGUUUAACAUCAAGCUUUAAGCCAGGACUUCUACAUGUGACUGUUAGUGUCUGUUGCACCACUGUUUAUGUGACUAUAAUCUUAAAACUACGAAGCACACAUUUUCUUAGCGUUCAGCAGUUUAUCCAUUGUUUG